RNAcentral lists this ribosomal RNA (497 nucleotides) under uncultured bacterium. RNAcentral's name for it is "partial 16S ribosomal RNA". It matches the Rfam family "Bacterial small subunit ribosomal RNA", at positions 28 to 507 of the family's 1533-position model. The record is from RNAcentral.
GACGAACGCUGGCGGCGUGCCUAAUACAUGCAAGUAGAACGCUGAAGAGAGGAGCUUGCUCUUCUUGGAUGAGUUGCGAACGGGUGAGUAACGCGUAGGUAACCUGCCUUGUAGCGGGGGAUAACUAUUGGAAACGAUAGCUAAUACCGCAUAACAAUGGAUGACACAUGUCAUUUAUUUGAAAGGGGCAAUUGCUCCACUACAAGAUGGACCUGCGUUGUAUUAGCUAGUAGGUGAGGUAAUGGCUCACCUAGGCGACGAUACAUAGCCGACCUGAGAGGGUGAUCGGCCACACUGGGACUGAGACACGGCCCAGACUCCUACGGGAGGCAGCAGUAGGGAAUCUUCGGCAAUGGGGGCAACCCUGACCGAGCAACGCCGCGUGAGUGAAGAAGGUUUUCGGAUCGUAAAGCUCUGUUGUAAGUCAAGAACGGGUGUGAGAGUGGAAAGUUCACACUGUGACGGUAGCUGAACAGAAAGGGACGGCUAACUACGUG